CGAAAGACCAGUCUCACUCCCACCGUGCCACCCACUAUAGCCCCAAGUCUUGUUUCCAGGCGGAGGGCAAGUCGGGCUUGAAAACCUGCCCAAGGCUUUCCACCUCCCAGCUGCAAAAGAAAAGGGCUUUAGUUCUUUCCCCGCCUGUGAAGUCUGCAAGCUGGUUUCAUGCCCUCCCCCGAGUUCUGGCUAGGAGGCUUCUUCCCCGUUCAAAUUGUUACAAAGUUCAGCUAGAGAAGUCCUUCUCCCUGUAGGGUCUUACCUCCUGCUCCUCUGGCCGCCGUCCUGAUGGAUCCCUGUGGUGCCAGGCAGGAAUGGGCUGCUUGGGGAUCCAGUGAGCUCCCAGUGCCUUUCUGCUACUUCCUCUACCCCUGUAUUUCGCUCAGCUCGAGUCUCUAACUUGGCUCAGCUCCAGACACACGUGACAUUUGGUGCCGAAGACCCAGGACAGGAGGACUCCUUCAGGAGACCGGUCCCCUGUGCUUGCCCUCACUUCCGUGAGGAGAUCUGCCUACAACCUUGGGUCCUCAGACCAACCAGCCCAAGGAACAUCUCACCAAUUUCAAAUCGGGUAGGCAGUCUUUUCACUCUCUUUUCCAGCCUCUCUUGCUACCCUUCAAUCUCCCUGUCCUUCCAAUUCCAGUUAUUUUUCCUCUCUAGUAGAGACAAAGAAGACACAUUUUAUCCGUGGACCCAAAACUCCGGCGCCAGUCACAGACUCGGGAAGAUAGUCUUCCCUUGGUGUUUAAUCGCUGCGGGGACGCCUGCCUGAUUAUUCACCCACACUCCAUUGGUGUCUGAUCACCGUGGGGAUGCCUGCCUUGGUCAUUCACCCACAUUCCCUUGGUGGCAAGUCAAUUGCGGGGAUGCCUGCUUUGGCUGCUCACCCACAUUGCAGCCCAGGGCUGCUCACUACCCCCACCCCUUCUCCGUGUCUCUACCCUCUCUUUUCUCUGGGCUUGCCUCCUUCACUAUGGGCAACCUUCCACCCUCCAUUCCCCCUUCUGCUCCCUUAGCCUGUCUUCUCAAAAACUUAAAACCUCUUCACCUCUCACCUGACCUAAAACCUAAGCAUCUUAUUUUCUUGUGUAACACCGCUUGGCCCCAAUACAAACUUGAUAAUGGUUCUAAAUAGCCAGAAAACAGCACUUUUGAUUUCUCCAUUUUACAAGACCCGGAUGAUUUUUGUUGAAAAAUGGGCAAAUGGGUCUGAGGUGCCUGACUUCCAGGCAUUCUUCUACACAUUGGUCCCUCCCUAGUCUCUGCUCCCAAUGUGACUCAUCCCAAAUCUGUCUUCUUUCUCUCCUGUCUGUUCCUUCAGUCUCCACCCCAAGCUCUGAGUCCUUGAAUCCUCCUUUUCUACAGACCCAUCUGACCUCUCCCCUCCUCCCCAAGGCUGCUCCUCACCAGGCCAAGCCAGGUCCCAAUUCUUCUUCAGCCUCCACUAUCCCACCCUAUAAUCCUUUUAUCACCUCGCCUCCUCACACCUGGUCUGGCUUACAGUUUCAUUCCACGACUAGCCCUUCCCGACCUGCCCAACAAUUUCCUCUUAAAGAGGUGGCUGGAGCUAAAGGCACAGUCAAGGUUAAUGCUCCUUUUUCUUUAUCCGACCUCUCCCAAAUCAGUUAGUGUUUAGGCUCUUUUUCAUCAAAUAUAAAACUCAACCCAGUUCAUGGCCCAUUUGGCAACAACCCUUAGAUGCUUUACCACCCUAGACCCAGAAGGGCCAGAAGGCCGUCUUAUUCUCAGUAUGCAUUUUAUUACCCAAUCCACUCCCGACAUUAAAUAAAGCUCCAAAAAUUAGAUUCCGGCCCUCAAACCCCAUAACAGGACUUAACUAACCUCACCUUCAAGAUGUACAAUAAUAGAGUAGAGGCAGCCAAGUAGCAACAUAUUUCUGAGUUGCAAUUCCUUGCCUCCACCGUGAGAGAAACCCCAGCCACAUCUCCAGCACACAAGAACUUCAAAAUGCCUAAGCCACAGUGGUCAAGCAUUCCUUCAGGACCUCCUCCCCCAGGAUCUUACUUCAGUGCUGGAAAUCUGGCCACUGGGCCAAGGAAUGCCCACAGCCUGGGAUACCUCCUAAGCCGUGUCCCAUCUAUGCGGGACCCCACUGGAAAUCAGACUGUCCAACUCGCCCAGCAGCCACUCCCAGAGCCCCUGGAACUCUGGCCCAAGGCUCUCUGACUGACUCCUUCCCAGAUCUUCUUGGCUUAGCGGCUGAAGACUGACGCUGCACCAUCACCUCAGAAGCCUCCUGGACCAUCACAGAUGCUUUUGGCAACUCUUACAGUGGAAGUUAACCAGCCACUCUUUGAUCUUAACCACAUCUGAUAAAGAGAUUUUUCUGACUUCACAGGAUAGCUGUAAAAUAACACAGAAUGCACGUGGAAGUACUUAAUAAACUCUAAUGUGAAAUACAAAUGUAAGCUAUUUUUAUUACAAAUGUAAUAAAUAUCUGCCACCAGAUUUUAGUCCUUUUGAUAAUUAUAGAUCAAAUACAGACCAGGAGAAAAAGUAGAUAUUUAAGAAACGCAUUAUUUACUGAGCUCUUCAUUGAAAUAUUACUGACAUAGCUAAACUUUUAUUCCCAAUAUGGAAAAGGGGGUACCCAAAAGAACAGAAACACCCUGAGUGUGAGACCUGGUAGGGAUCCAUAAAAAAGCAGCGCAAAAGAUGACGAUGUCAGCA
RNAcentral lists this long non-coding RNA (2691 nucleotides) under Homo sapiens (human). RNAcentral's name for it is "HSALNT0124621". Lineage: Eukaryota; Metazoa; Chordata; Mammalia; Primates; Hominidae. The record is from RNAcentral.